This 448-nucleotide long non-coding RNA is filed under the name Hordeum vulgare. Its description in RNAcentral is "long non-coding RNA (HVUL_LNC014506)". Lineage: Eukaryota; Viridiplantae; Streptophyta; Magnoliopsida; Poales; Poaceae. The record is from RNAcentral.
GGGCUUCUAAGGUCGUUAUAAAACAAUAUAAAUUUCAGAACCAAAACAAUGCAUGACCCAUCAGAUAUUAUAAGCACCAGAUCAGUUAAAGAGAAAAGGGCAUGGAAUCCUAAGCUCGAGAGAAAAUUCCAGUAUAAACUGUAGGUACCACAAACUCAACCAAUAUAAAUUUCAGAACCAAAACAAUGCAUGACCCAUCAGAUAUUAUAAGCACCAGAUCAGUUAAAGAGAAAAGGGCAUGGAAUCCUAAGCUCGAGAGAAAAUUCCAGUAUAAACUGUAGGUACCACAAACUCAACCAAUAUAAAUUUCAGAACCAAAACAAUGCAUGACCCAUCAGAUAUUAUAAGCACCAGAUCAGUUAAAGAGAAAAGGGCAUGGAAUCCUGAGCUCGAGAGAAAAUUCCAGUAUAAACUGUAGGUACCACAAACUCAACCAAUAUAAAUUUCA